RNA transcript from Heterocephalus glaber (naked mole-rat), 5024 nucleotides. It is a transcript of the gene named family with sequence similarity 149 member A, with no coding region annotated. Lineage: Eukaryota; Metazoa; Chordata; Mammalia; Rodentia; Bathyergidae. The record is from RefSeq and is a predicted model, not a curated record.
CUCCCAGGGCUCCUGAGAUUCCGGCAGCAGCAAGAACAGCAUUUCCAAGGUCACAGCAUGAAGGUUGCUGUGUUGGAUCUCGGGUCUCUCUUUGCCAAAAUCUUCAAGACCUCGACGGCGUCCCCCGCGGUCCCCUCUCCGGUCACCUCCUCCAGCCACUUGGGAGGCGCAGGGUCUGCGGGCGCCGUCCAAACCCCGACUCCGACCCCGACCUCGACCUCGACCCUCCUCCCCGCGCUGGCUCCCGACUCAGCCUCGGCCUCGCGGGGGCCACCCACCUCGCUGCAUCCUCUGCUCGCCGCUUCCUAUGCCCGAGUCUCGGCCGCCAGCCGCGCGGCAGAAGCAGCAGGGUCUCCCUUCCCCCUGCCCGGUAGCCCCAGUACAGCCAAAAUCCCGCCGGCGCCCCAGCCUCUGCUCCUGUCUAGCGCCCACCGACACGCCGCGGGGUCCCCGGCCCAGCUGGUGGCCCUGGCGCGGUCGCGCCCCGAGAGCCCCCGGCAGCCUCGCCUGCCUGGCUCCGGAGAGAGAGAGCCCAGCGCUUGGAAGACGCCUGGGUCUGGCCCCAAGACCCUGUUCUUCACCUUGCCGGACAUCGGCGAGGAGUGGGGCUCGGACAGCGACUCGGAGGACGGAGGAGAAGGACGAGGACUCUCAGAAGGAGCUAGAAAGCAUAGUUUUGCUGUGAAAAACAAAGAUCCUUUACCUACAUAUUUUACAAGAAACGUGCAGAAAGCCAUUGAUAAAUAUACCAGUGAAUCCCCAUCAUCAUUCUCAUCCAGUGGAAGCUGCACACCCACAGAAGCCCACAACUCAUGGGCUGGAUCUUCAACACAGAGUUCGACCACUGGCUUCUCUACAGAGAGGAGCUCCAUUUAUUCUUGGAGGGGCGAUGAAUUUGACAAAGCCAAUGCUCAGAAAGUGCAACAAUUAUUUUGGGAGGUGGAGGAAAUGUUAUUUGAAGGGAAAGUAGGUGCUCAGACCCAGAACCUACUGGCUGAAUGCUGUGAGUGGGCAAGCAGAUCCCUCCAUCUAAGAGUAUUAGGAAGACAGCUCAUCCUGCCAACUGAUGAAGGAUUCCAACACUUUCAGGGCAGCCUGCCAAGUUCUGCCAGUCACAAACCUGUACCUGCGGCCCCUGAACCCAACAGCAGUGUCAGACAGCUGUGCAUUUCUGGCUCUCAGAUAGUGCCAGCAGCACUGGAAGCCUCUGCCCUGCCAGGCCCUGAUGGCACGGGGAGUGCCAGCCUAGUGGCAUGUUCAUCCCUGCAAGAAGAGGUUUAUGGUGUGGAUGGGAAGAUUGAAGAGUAUUUUGCAUUUGACAGAAAAGAGGAUGGUGAUGAACAUCUUGAACAAAAGCCAGCUCACUGUGGCAGGAAGUGGCAUAGACACGGACUUCCUCCCAUCUCCCCUCAUGACUGUAUCAAAGAUACUGUGGCAGCAGGAGUAUUCGAUCAUGUCUGGACAAAUGUGGUAGAAAUAUUGGAAGAACUAAUUAGAAAGAACUGGGAAACUACACUCACAGGGAAAAAUAAAGAAAAAUUGAAAGCAGCUGAAACUAGAUCCCCACAUGUGCUCAUUUCCCGUAUCAGCACAGAUGUGUCAAGUGUCCCCCCAUCCAGAAGUUCUGAAACUCGCUGUGUGUCCCUGGCUUCGCAACUGAAUCCACCUCAGAUUCAUCGCUUCUCCAACAAUUUCUGUAGUGACUUGAAUGGUGUGAUGACAAUUCAAGCAAAACCUCUUCAGCAGAGACCUACCUACUUUGCAGAUAGAACACAGAGUGAGCAGGAGGACAAAUCAUCUGCUGGAGGAGUGGUCAGUGCCCUUUCCUCUGCUCGCCACCGAAUGGGGCGGACCUCAGAUGUGAGAGGAUUACAAACUUCUGCCAAGAAAACAGUGGUGCACAGGAGGCUGCCUUCUCUUACUUCAGAUUCACAGAGACUAAAAACCCCCAAUAUCUACAGUGAUGAAAUUCUUAGGGGAACAAAGCUGCAAACUAGUGUGGACCAUAUGUCUUCCUCUCCAAUUCAAACUUCCCGGAGCAGGUUGCCCCCCAUUGGCUCAGACAGUGGGGAGCAGAACACAGCACUUUCUGGAUCCUGGUCUAUAACCUACAAAGGGAGGCACCCACAGAGCCGUGUGUUAAGUGCCAUGCCUGACUGUGUAGAGCGAUCACCUCUUCAUGAAAGAACCUUUGCCCUGGAGCAGCUUUCAAGGCCCAGCACAACUCACACCUUCCGGUCAGAUACACCUCGAAAAGGUUCCUUGACCCUGAUGGAAUUCGCCCACCACACGUGGACAGGUCAGAGUGUUUUGACAGCAAAUACUAAAGAUAGCUAUUAUCGCUGAUGGUCAGAGGCCUUUGCUCACAUCUGUAAAGUGACUAAGAGUACACAAAAGACAUGUUCCUGUAUGGGUUCACAGUAUCUCCCUAAAUCUUUUCAGAGAACGAUUUUGACUUCAAGAAAGAAGUUCCAAGUGGCAUCUUGAUAUUUCUUCAUCAGAGCUAUGCGUACUGGAGCAUUCUAAACCUCAGCAUAUCACUUACCACUUGAAAAGCUGAAGAACAAGUAUUAUACUAUUUGUCUGACAGUCUGAGAUGUCAGUCUACCCAAAAGAAAUGGAAACAGUAACUUAAUUUUGAACACUUUGCCUUGCACAGAGAAUAAAGGUCAAACUCCCUAAUCUUUACUGAAAGCAUUCUUGAGGUUUUUCAGGCUUUAUUGAGAAGAUAAUAAUGUGUUUAAAUUCCAUCACUUUAUCAGUUAUACACACAACUAUUGUGUUCACGUACUCAUAUACUAACAAUAUAUAAGUAUAUUAUCUAGGAAUACACCAUUUUGUAAGUUUGUACUUUAACAUAUUUUUUGAUCUAAUUCUCUUAGUAAUUCAUCAAAACCCUAACCAAAGAGAUCACUUUCUUCUUUAUAAAAGGAUAAAGUCACAUUUGAGACAGUCUAUUUGGCAAAGAUUCUGGUUGCUACAGUCAUUGUGCUGACUUUCUUAUGUGUUUGUUAAAAAGUGUUUUAGUUAUGAACCACCUUAAGAAAUGUCAGUGGCUAAUUCCCUUAAGUCAAUUCUGUUUUACCAGUUCUCAUUUUCAAAUUAAGCAGUCCUUUUAAAAAUGCUUCACAUUUAUUGAUUUUUUUUCAGAUUUAAAAUUUUUUAUUACACGUUUGCAUUACAUAAUGAUUACUUUUCUUUUGGGGAGUUGGUACAUGUACACACUCACAUUUAUAGAUUUUUAAAGAUGAACAUAAACAUCAUUAAAAUCUAUUGCAUAUGGUUUCAUAUGGAAAUGUCCAUCUGGAAGGAAGGCUUUACAGCACCAAGGUCUUUCUGUCAUCACAGUCUGCAAAGAGACCCCUUAACCUUUUUUUCUUAAAACAGCAGCCUCCUUCAGCAUCUUUCCUGGCUGUACUUCUUCAGAGAAAGCCUCCCUGUCUGACAUUAUACAGAAAAUGGAGUGGAGAGUGUAAAGGAGAAAUGUCAGUUGGACUCAAGGCUCCUUUUAUAGUGAUAUGAGUUUUUAGAUUCAUUUUGCUAUUCUCACAUCUCAAAUCAGCAUAAUUUCUUCUUCUCCAUCACAUAUUUAUACUUUGUUGCUCUAAUUUUCAAAUCAAAACUUUAUAUACACAUAUAUAUGACAUAAACAUACAAUGAGUUAUUUUCAGACCUAUUUCUGGCUUUAAGGAGAGGGGUUUGUUGUCUAUUUAUAGAUGCCUGGAAAUGGGAAAAAUAUGCUGAGACUACAAUUAGCAUCAUCUUUUAUCAUAGUGACAAAAAAUGAACCUGUAAUUUGCCUCCACUGAAUAUUGUCUCCUUUAUAUUCUCCACUCCAAUUUCCAUAGCCAUGGAACCUAUUUGGGAGUGGAAACAUCCAGACCUGUUUGAAUGGCCAAAACUCCUUAACUCUAGGGAAUAAAUAUGUCCAGAGCUUAGUCAUCCACACCAAAUAGAUCAAAGCACUUGGGGAAUUUUUUUUAAUUACUUCUCAGCAUUAGCUAUGGAAGCUUUUAAGAGAAAAUACCAAUCUUGAUAGAGCGAUUUUUGAGGAAUUUCUGGACAGGUGAGUGGCCUAAGAAUCUGUUCAAUGGAUCCCUGGUUAGUUGCUCUCAGGUCCAUCAUUGCCCCAAAAAGAGCUGUCCACCCUGCUCUCUCCCAACUACUCAGGCUACUUUGUACAGCUUCCAGGCACCAUCCAGCUGCUUCCCCAUUCAGCCCAAACUUGAAAGAGAGAUGGCUGAUAGGCAGCCUAAGUGAACAGGGAGUGAAUCAAGAUCAGCGAAGUCUAUCCAAUGAUUGCUUUAAUUUAUUUGGCUUCAGAGGUUUGCGGUUGAGAACUUAUUAUUUAUAUGAUGACAAAAAACUGAAAAAUACAAAAAUCUUGAAUUUUAUCUUCCAAACAGUUUGAUUGGAAGAUAAAGUGCUAUUAGAGAUUUUAUAAGAACCUGGCUCUCUUCCAGAAGUGAAGUUCUUGUAGCAUUUAUUUUUUUCACCUGGGUUAAAUUUUUUAUUUAUAUGUUAAAUGAUAUUUAGAGGUUACUAAAUAAUAUUUUUAUCAAGGAUAGUGUUUUAAAAAAUUAUAAUAAUAUGAAAAUUAGGGCCAUAUGUUCAUAAUAAUCUACUUUGAUAAAUGAGCCAUAUCUCAGAAUUUGUGCUAAGAAUUUUAAAAAUCAAAUUUAAUUACUUCUAUUAUCAAUUUUUGAAUUCAGGUUAGCGACUGCAUCAAUUAAAAUAUUUGUUAAUUUGUGCAAAACCAAAGUAGAAUUGAAAAAAUUUAAAAAUCAUCUGGUAAACUAUAAAAUAACAGAGAAAAAUGGCUAGAUUUUGUAAAGACUAUAAAAAGAAGCAUCCAUUUUAAUGUCAUUCUGAACUAGAAAGGAGUUCUAUACCAAUUGAGAUACCUUUUUAUAAUAUCAUAAAUCAUUUGGGUAAAUUUUUUAUUGUCAGUGUUUUCUUAUGUCUUCAGAUCAUUGUUCAAGACUCUUCAUAUUUUUAAAUAAAAUAUAAAAGUGUUGAAAGUU